Long non-coding RNA from Esox lucius (northern pike), 4602 nucleotides. The record is from Ensembl. Lineage: Eukaryota; Metazoa; Chordata; Actinopteri; Esociformes; Esocidae.
GCGGUAGGAAGGUGGACGGGCGAGGAGAAAGUGAAGGAGAGGGGGAGGUGCAGAGAGGGAGGGGUCUGGUGGGGAGAAGUGAAUGACUAAAGGGGGACAGGUGUAGGCUGGACUAGGACUAAACUGCCACGGGGAGGCUUGGCCGUUCGGUAGACGGUAGGUCUCAGAAAAGCACCGCUGGGUUUUGCUCUGUUCUACAGAGGGAGGUGUGUUGUUGACUAGAUGGGUGUCCCCAUAGAAAUAUAAUUACUAUAUAUUGUUACAAUUUGACUAACUUUAUUUCUAUGGGCGGCCAUUUGACUGAGAUAGUUAUUACGGUUGUACAACCUGGCUCUGUCUGUCUAGUUUUAGCACAAGGUGAAUAGAAUAGACAGUAUACUACUCUAACUCACCCGAGCUGGACACAUGUCAAACACCCCAGGAAGACAUAGAGAUACAUGGAAAUGUGUCAAGAUGUACACUUUCUCUAUGGACAGUCCCACUAGGUCCCUGUCCCCACUUCUCACAGUAGGAGAUCUGGGGCCCACUGUUGGAGGGAUACGGAUUGGGGUCAAAGGAAAGAUACAGAGACAGGGUUGGGUUAAGGAGAGGGACAUAGAGACAGGGAUGGGUUAAGGAGAGGGACAUAGAGACAGGGUUGGGUUAAGGAGAGGGACAUAGAGACAGGGAUGGGUUAAGGAGAGGGACAUAGAGACAGGGUUGGGUUAAGGAAAGGGACAUAGAGACAGGGUUGGGUUAAGGAGAGGGACAUAGAGACAGGGUUGGGUUAAGGAGAGGGACAUAGAGACAGGGUUGGGUUAAGGAGAGGGACAUAGAGACAGGGUUGGGUUAAGGAGAGGGACAUAGAGACAGGGUUGGGUUAAGGAGGGACAUAGAGACAGGGAUGGGUUAAGGAGAGGGACAUAGAGACAGGGUUGGGUUAAGGAGAGGGACAUAGAGACAGAGUUGGGUUUAUGCGGAGGGAUACAGACAGACAGGGCUGGGUUGAGGCGGAGGGAUACAGACAGACAGGGCUGGGUUGAGGCAGAGGGAUACAGACAGACAGGGUUGGGUUGAGGCAGAGGGAUACAGAUGGAGACAGGGGUUACAGAUUAACCCUUAUACAAUGACACAUCACAUAUGGACAAAGCACAGCAGAUAUAGACAGUCUUCCUGACGCUUAUACACCACCAGAACCAUUACUUUCAUUAUCCCUAACAGAACCAAACCUGUUACAAGAAUGUUUUAUCCCCCCAAGUAGUAUACAGUGAUGAACAAAAGAACCUGUUAUCCCACUGUACCCAAUGGCUAUUGCUGUCUCAUGACAGCAGGGGUCUGUGACAUGCUGAUAACCUAUCAGUUUGAUUGGCUGAACUAAAUGGGAACUCCCUAAUUGGUUAUUGUGGUUAAGUGCAUCAGGAAGUGUCACAACAUGCUAUGUGGAUAUUUGUCAUUUGAGUGCAGGACUAUGGUAGCGGUAUGUAAGUAGUUACACUAUGGAGUGUGUGCAGUAAGUUCAUUUGGUGAAAUGGUAUGAUUACGAAGCUAGAAGAACAGGAACAUUAUAAGUGUGCGAGAUGUAUGAGCCAAAACGAUGAAGCACUGUUGCCUAGUAGUGCAGAAUACCUCCCUUAAGUUCCACCAAGAGCAGGGGUGUCAAACAUAGCCAAGCCCACACGAUGGAUCUGGCCUGCCGGGGGGGCCAAUCUGGCCUAGAGGGGAUUUCAGUAAAAUAAUGAAAUCAACUCAAUAUACUUCGAAACCGUGCAGAAAUGAUAAUGGACCUAUAUUCAUAAUGUUUUAUUGAACUUUUUACUGUGUCCAGUUUGGUAAAUAUCAUUGAAGUGACCAAAAUAAAAUCCAGUCAGAGGUCAUAAAAAAUUCCAAACACUACGGUCAGAGAAACAUUUUAGAAAAUGUUGACGGCAAGACAUUUGAGUGCAUCCCUCUGGAACAUGUUGAAGGUCGAAUGCCCACCCCUCCCCUCCCCGGCCCGGGGGCAAAACCAGUUUGACAUACCUGCCUUAAGAGUGCUUUUGAACAGGGUUUACCAUAGGUCUAACAACUGUAUGGACCUCCUAGUGGUCUAUAGGAUCAUGGUCAGACCUAAUGUAAACAAGUCAUCACCCAUACCAGGUCACAGAUUCUGAGAAGUACUAUUUUAAUCAUCUAGAAAGCUGCCAAGGUUGGGGAAUGCUUAAGGUGUGUGAUGUAAAAAAAAAAAGAAUCUGAGCAUUUGUUUGUAACCGGCAACAGUUAACCUCACAGACUCGAUCUCAGUCCACCUCAGAUGUAACAGUUUGAAAUAUUAGACUUCACUGUACUACAAAACUAGUGGAACUAAGUCUACAUUAGAACUGGUAGGCUGCUAGUUAAGUCGCCCUCAAACUGGGCAUCCUAUAGAGACCGUACGACCAUAUUUUACAACCAUGAACGGACCAUGAGUUGGGCCACAGUGAACGUCAGACAGAGAUUGUGAUGCUUGAAGACGUUGGGUGAGGGUCAAGGAGGGGGACCAUAAUGACGCAAUAGUAGCGGGCAGUAAAACAAUGGCAUUAUUUCUCUGCUCUCUCUUGGUUCUCGUUCACAGCAGUUCACUUUGCAAACCUGCAAAUCUUUGGGCAAGAGUGUGUAAGUGUGCAUUUCGGCAUUCCUGCAGUUUACUGCGCAAGGAUCACUGCUAUGGUGUCGUUGAGAGAGAAACGGACAGAUGGAAAACGGGAUAGAGGGCUAUUAUAAUGGCACUUGUAGAGUGCAGGGUGGGGGAGGGGGGGAUCUGUGUAGUAAAUAGCUAAAAUGGCCCGUAAGGAUUCAUCAUAAUCUCAUUUCAAUCGCAAGUCCAUGAGACGAAAAGUAGGGCUAAUAUCAUCCUCAUUUGGUUAAUCCCUGGGGUAAACAAUUUUUUUUCUAGUCAAAAAUAUCUCUUCAAUUUCAUUCACUUUCUCAAAUAAAUAUAUAUAUCUCUGGCUUUACGAUAAGAUGCUGCUAAUGUAAUGUUUGUUCUGUGGCUGACUGCCUGCUGGGAUUGUAACAGUACUGUGGACCAUUAAAAUGAAACCAUUUUGGCUCCUCUUAUCCCUGCUGCUUUUUCCCUCAGACCUCUCAGUUUGCCUGUGACCAAAAGCCUUUCUCAUUAGUUGAGUAUGACCGUAAAGAAUAGAGGAGCCUCCACAGAGCAGCCUGCAGCUCCAGUGCUAAUCAGAGCUGUGGGACACUAGCCCCCGGGAAGCGACAGAGCAUCUCCAUAACAGCAGACAGUGUUUUAACAGGCUGGGACAGGGAAAUGGGCCAAGCUAGUUACUUAGGGGGACUGCCACAGCACCGAAAUAGGACAUCUCAUUUGAGGUGGGGUUUGCAAUCGGUAAAUGUGUACACUAGUGGACUUCAGUUGGACUAAUUUGGAUUUAUUGAAACCGUGCGCUGCUAGGUCCGUUUGGGCUUCAUCCAUUUCCUGUAACCACGAAAGGGUUUGAACGUAUUCAUUUGCCUGCGAGCAGCAUGGGUGGGUGGGGGCGUUUUGGGGAUGGGUUUUGUUGAGUUUGCAUGUUCUUUUUCUCCACACCAUCCAGACCUGUGAUCACAAACUAAUUGGAUUCGGGUGGGAGGAAAAUAAUGUAAAAUGUCAGAUAACCAAACGAAAAAGUGUUCUUUUCAGCCUUUGUUAACUCUCCUUAAGUGAAUGGGUCAACCAACAUACAGUACAAUCCCAGUCUCCCUGUUGGUUUCACCCCAAGACACUACUAGUAGUGCUAUUGUUUCUCGCACUGCAGAUUAGAUUUGCGAUGUUCCUGUUGGAUUCCAUUUAAAAAGCUUGCAUGGGACACACAGACAAAUACAGCAAAAAAAGCCCCCCACAAAAAACAACGACCGCAUGAUUGUAUGCAGGGGGGUUUGUUCACCCCCCCCCCCGCCCCAUUUCUCACAUUUUUGCAUGACCUUGUGUCAUCCACCAUGGCAACAGAAAUAGUAAUUGUAGUGCUUAUAAACCAAAACCGAAACUACAAGAAAGAAGUUCCAACUAAAAAGUGUUAGCGAAACAGCAAAUCGUGUUAAUCUAUUGUUUUACGUUGUCUUUUUGUUGUCAGGAGACCGUUUUGUGUUUUGUAGAGAAAGAGCUGGCUCAGCAGUGGUGCCAUAGGCCUGGUAUGGAGGCGCUCGGCUUCCCGGAUGCCAGUGUGUUCUGUGCCAGACCCUGCCCGUGGCUCAAGGGCAGUUCCGCGCUGGAGGUUUUUGGUAUCGAUUGUUCUGAGCUCCACUGGCCCUCCUGAGGGCAGCUCUGGGAUCGUCUAGUAGAGUCCGGCAUGGCUGUUACACGUACUAAAGAGACUGUAUUGGCAUCAGCCGUUAUGACUGGUGCGAGGAGGCCAGGGUGAUGGAAGAGGUACAGUAUUACUUCUAGUGGAAUUGGGAUUAAUGCCCUGAUUGCAAGGCUUUGUAGGACUUCAUAGACUUGGGGCAGACUGCAGAAUAAUCUGGUCCCAUGCUUUAGAAGCUGAUUGUUAACAUACACAGACCCGAGAGGCCCUAAGCCUGAUUCAUGGUGAUUGUUUGAACAUAAGAACGAGCUCGUUUUCUCACUUCAAAGCCACAAAAUAAAAAGAAAGGAAAAAAAAAAGCUAUUAC